Molecule: unclassified non-coding RNA, 391 nt
Filed under: soil metagenome
Description: partial contains 5.8S ribosomal RNA, internal transcribed spacer 2, and large subunit ribosomal RNA
Rfam family: 5.8S ribosomal RNA (bases 1-122)
Source: RNAcentral
GAUGAAGAACGCAGCGAAAUGCGAUACUUGGUGUGAAUUGCAGAAUCCCGUGAACCAUCGAGUCUUUGAACGCAAGUUGCGCCCGAAGCCAUUAGGCCGAGGGCACGCCUGCCUGGGCGUCACACGUCGUUGCCCCCCCAUCUACUCCUUCGGGAUUGCGGGGGGCGGAUGAUGGCCUCCCGUGCGCCUCGUCGCGCGGUUGGCCUAAAUGCCAAGUCCUCGGCGACGCACGCCACGACAAUCGGUGGUUGCGAAACCUCGGUUGCCUGUCGUGUGCGGUCGUCGCGCAUCGAGGGCUCGAAAAAAUGGCCGGGCUUCGGCUCGACUUUCAACGCGACCCCAGGUCAGGCGGGGUUACCCGCUGAAUUUAAGCAUAUCAAUAAGCGGAGGA